GCCCUCGUAUCCCAAUUGGCAGAGGAAACGGAUUCAAAACCCGUCCAGUGUGAGUUCGAGUCUCACCGAGGGCAC
This 75-nucleotide transfer RNA is filed under the name Mycolicibacterium chitae. RNAcentral's name for it is "tRNA-Leu". It matches the Rfam family "tRNA". From Rfam's summary of the family: Transfer RNA (tRNA) molecules are approximately 80 nucleotides in length. Their secondary structure includes four short double-helical elements and three loops (D, anti-codon, and T loops). Further hydrogen bonds mediate the characteristic L-shaped molecular structure. tRNAs have two regions of fundamental functional importance: the anti-codon, which is responsible for specific mRNA codon recognition, and the 3' end, to which the tRNAs corresponding amino acid is attached (by aminoacyl-tRNA synthetases). tRNAs cope with the degeneracy of the genetic code in two manners: having more than one tRNA (with a specific anti-codon) for a particular amino acid; and 'wobble' base-pairing, i.e. permitting non-standard base-pairing at the 3rd anti-codon position. The record is from RNAcentral. Lineage: Bacteria; Bacillati; Actinomycetota; Actinomycetes; Mycobacteriales; Mycobacteriaceae. RNAcentral also lists the same sequence under 4 other names.